RNA transcript from Spinacia oleracea (spinach), 1012 nucleotides. RefSeq lists it as uncharacterized. Lineage: Eukaryota; Viridiplantae; Streptophyta; Magnoliopsida; Caryophyllales; Amaranthaceae. The transcript is spliced from 6 exons. The record is from RefSeq and is a predicted model, not a curated record.
UACCAAACAGGGCCAUUCUCUUUCCUAGAAUGCUUCCCUUCUUCCACUGAUCUAAAGUCCCUGCUUCUCUCCUUCUUCUAUGUCUCCUCCACCGCUAUAAGGUUCCUUUUUCUCUCCUCCAAACUCUGUCAACGGUACACCUCCCUCUUCCCAAAACCCUAACUCCUAAUUCGAUAAAAUUUACCCGGAUAUGGGAAUGGGUCUUGUAGGUGUGUCUGCUUGUGGUUCUGCUACGGAUUCUACUAUUGGGGGAGAAAUGGGAGGAUAUGGUGGUUAUGUUGAUGGAGGAGACUUUAGGUCGAAGGUGUGGAGUAUAUCGGGUGGCCCCAAAUACCGGCGUCGUAACUCCGCUUUCUCCGACGUCUUCCUCAUUUGUGUUCCCGUGGCCAUGAAAUUCGCCCAUCUUGAGGUAAUGCAGUGGUUAAAGACUCAAGGAAAUCUCGUAUUUAAUUUUUAGAAUGUGGAAGGAAGGUGGGGGAGAAGGUCAGAUCAGUCAAACCUGCCGGUGACUUGGCCCAUUAUAUCCAUUCACUGCUGGUGUCUAUGUUGCUCUAAUGAUGGCCGAGCUUCUGUUGGCUUCUGGCUCCUCUUGCUUUUGCGCAUUAUACACCAAGCUUGUAAAAUUUGAUGUUUUGAAUCUGUUAAAUACCACUUCUACCAAGCAGUACACCCACUUUUUAUUGGAUGUCCUGAAGUGUAUGGGGAUAAUAUUUAGUCUCUGAAACUGUUGUCAAUGCCUUACCGAGUUUCAUAAAUUUCCCAUAUAAGAUUCUCAGUUUUCGAGUUAUGACAAAGAGAAGAUUGAUAAAGAACUCAAUGGUUGCUCGACAAAUGUAUUAGCUAAGUUAUUUUGAAAGUAUCAAUAAAUAUAUAAUUCUAUGAAUUAAUGUACUUUUACGUAGUUUAAUUUUUGCGGUCUUUUUAGAACAUAAUUCUGUAAUCGUCUAUUACGGUGACAAUUGAAUUAUUUCGUUGGAGCUUUAAAAUCAAUAUUCAACCAUUUACUACUCAA